This 263-nucleotide long non-coding RNA is filed under the name Physcomitrium patens. Its description in RNAcentral is "long non-coding RNA (PPAT_LNC000907)". Lineage: Eukaryota; Viridiplantae; Streptophyta; Bryopsida; Funariales; Funariaceae. The record is from RNAcentral.
UAGCUUCCAAAACUCCUUUAUUUUUCAUAAAACUCAAAAUAUAACAAAAUCCCUUCAAAAAAUAUUUUUCUCGCAAAGAAUCUUCUCUUUUCAAACUUUAGAAAUUCAUAACUCUUGAUCUAAGUGUUCAAUAUGUCUCAAAUUUAUAGGAUAGAGAGGAAUCACCCUUAAUUUUGAUCAAAAAAACAACCAAUUGUAAAUUCACUUUCGAUCUUUUGGCAUCUAAGAAAACCUGGCAGAUGCUCUAAACCCUAAUUUACAAG